GUGAGUAAUGCUUAGGAAUCUGCCUAUUAGUGGGGGACAACAUCUCGAAAGGGAUGCUAAUACCGCAUACGUCCUACGGGAGAAAGCAGGGGAUCACUUGUGACCUUGCGCUAAUAGAUGAGCCUAAGUCGGAUUAGCUAGUUGGUGGGGUAAAGGCCUACCAAGGCGACGAUCUGUAGCGGGUCUGAGAGGAUGAUCCGCCACACUGGGACUGAGACACGGCCCAGACUCCUACGGGAGGCAGCAGUGGGGAAUAUUGGACAAUGGGGGGAACCCUGAUCCAGCCAUGCCGCGUGUGUGAAGAAGGCCUUAUGGUUGUAAAGCACUUUAAGCGAGGAGGAGGCUCUUUUGGUUAAUACCCAAGAUGAGUGGACGUUACUCGCAGAAUAAGCACCGGCUAACUCUGUGCCAGCAGCCGCGGUAAUACAGAGGGUGCAAGCGUUAAUCGGAUUUACUGGGCGUAAAGCGCGCGUAGGCGGCCAAUUAAGUCAAAUGUGAAAUCCCCGAGCUUAACUUGGGAAUUGCAUUCGAUACUGGUUGGCUAGAGUGUGGGAGAGGAUGGUAGAAUUCCAGGUGUAGCGGUGAAAUGCGUAGAGAUCUGGAGGAAUACCGAUGGCGAAGGCAGCCAUCUGGCCUAACACUGACGCUGAGGUGCGAAAGCAUGGGGAGCAAACAGGAUUAGAUACCCUGGUAGUCCAUGCCGUAAACGAUGUCUACUAGCCGUUGGGGCCUUUGAGGCUUUAGUGGCGCAGCUAACGCGAUAAGUAGACCGCCUGGGGAGUACGGUCGCAAGACUAAAACUCAAAUGAAUUGACGGGGGCCCGCACAAGCGGUGGAGCAUGUGGUUUAAUUCGAUGCAACGCGAAGAACCUUACCUGGCCUUGACAUAGUAGAAACUUUCCAGAGAUGGAUUGGUGCCUUCGGGAAUCUACAUACAGGUGCUGCAUGGCUGUCGUCAGCUCGUGUCGUGAGAUGUUGGGUUAAGUCCCGCAACGAGCGCAACCCUUUUCCUUACUUGCCAGCAUUUCGGAUGGGAACUUUAAGGAUACUGCCAGUGACAAACUGGAGGAAGGCGGGGACGACGUCAAGUCAUCAUGGCCCUUACGGCCAGGGCUACACACGUGCUACAAUGGUCGGUACAAAGGGUUGCUACCUAGCGAUAGGAUGCUAAUCUCAAAAAGCCGAUCGUAGUC
Molecule: ribosomal RNA, 1193 nt
Filed under: Acinetobacter soli
Lineage: Bacteria; Pseudomonadati; Pseudomonadota; Gammaproteobacteria; Moraxellales; Moraxellaceae
Description: bacterial SSU rRNA
Rfam family: Bacterial small subunit ribosomal RNA
Source: RNAcentral